CCUACGGGAGACAGCAGUAGGGAAUAUUGCUCAAUGGGGGAAACCCUGAAGCAGCAACGCCGCGUGGAGGAUGAAGGUUUUCGGAUUGGAAACUCCUUUUGUUAGAGAAGAGAAUGACGGUACCUAACGAAUAAUCACCGGCCAACGCCGUGCCAGCAGCCGCGGUAACACGGAGGGUGCAAGCGUUACUCGGAAUCACUGGGCGUAAAGGGCGCGUAGGCGGGAUAGCAAGUCAGAUGUGAAAUCCUAUGGCUUAACCCUAGAACUGCAGUUGAAACUGUUAUUCUAGAGUAUGGGAGAGGUAGGUGGAAUUCUUGGUGUAGGGGUGAAAUCCGUAGAGAUCACGAGGAAUACUCAUUGCGAAGGCGACCUGCUAGAACAUAACUGACGCUGAUGCGCGAAAGCGUGGGGAGCAAACAGGAUUAGAUACCCGAGUAGUC
This 440-nucleotide ribosomal RNA is filed under the name uncultured bacterium. Its description in RNAcentral is "partial 16S ribosomal RNA". It matches the Rfam family "Bacterial small subunit ribosomal RNA", at positions 338 to 795 of the family's 1533-position model. The record is from RNAcentral.